AAUACAACUUUCAGCAACGGAUCUCUUGGCUCUCGCAUCGAUGAAGAACGCAGCGAAUUGCGAUAAGUAAUGUGAAUUGCAGAUUUUCAGUGAAUCAUCGAAUCUUUGAACGCACCUUGCGCUCCUUGGUAUUCCGAGGAGCAUGCCUGUUUGAGUGUCAUUCGAAUUCUCAACCAUGUCUUGUAAUGAGGCUUGGCUUUGGAGUUGGGGGUUGCUGGCGGCGAAGGUCGUCGGCUCUCCUGAAACAUAUUAGCAAAGGGCAGCAAGUCUCUGACGUGUGGCACGGCCUCUUCGACGUGAUAAUGAUCGUCGUGGGCUGGAAGCGCUGGGGGGGACUGCAUGGAUUGUCUUGUUUGCUUCCAAUCUCACCCAUAAUCAAGACUUUGGGACUCGAGCGAAGGUCGGCUUAGCUAUUAGUUUGGUCGUGAGGCCAGCGAACGCGGUCGGCUGGGUUUCGAGCUCUCAGGGAACUCGAGCGAAGGGUUGGCUUAGCUAUUAGUUGGUCGUGAGGCCGGCGAACGCGGUCAGGCUGGGUUUCGAGUUCUGGGGACUCGAGGAAAGGGUCGGCUUUAGCUAUUAGUUGGUCGCGAGGCCCGCUUACCGGUCGGGCUGGGUUUCGAGUUCUAGUCUCGUCUUUGACACCUGACCUCAA
This 652-nucleotide ribosomal RNA is filed under the name Boletus sp. YM1084. RNAcentral's name for it is "eukaryotic LSU rRNA". The stretch from base 6 to 160 matches the Rfam family "5.8S ribosomal RNA". Lineage: Eukaryota; Fungi; Basidiomycota; Agaricomycetes; Boletales; Boletaceae. The record is from RNAcentral.